Molecule: ribosomal RNA, 603 nt
Filed under: uncultured fungus
Lineage: Eukaryota; Fungi
Description: eukaryotic LSU rRNA
Rfam family: Eukaryotic large subunit ribosomal RNA
Source: RNAcentral
ACCCGCUGAACUUAAGCAUAUCAAUAAGCGGAGGAAAAGAAACCAACAGGGAUUGCCCUAGUAACGGCGAGUGAAGCGGCAACAGCUCAAAUUUGAAAUCUGGCUCUUUUAGAGUCCGAGUUGUAAUUUGCAGAGGGCGCUUUGGCUUUGGCAGCGGUCCAAGUUCCUUGGAACAGGACGUCACAGAGGGUGAGAAUCCCGUACGUGGUCGCUGACUAUUGCCGUGUAAAGCCCCUUCGACGAGUCGAGUUGUUUGGGAAUGCAGCUCUAAAUGGGAGGUACAUUUCUUCUAAAGCUAAAUAUUGGCCAGAGACCGAUAGCGCACAAGUAGAGUGAUCGAAAGAUGAAAAGCACUUUGGAAAGAGAGUCAAACAGCACGUGAAAUUGUUGAAAGGGAAGCGCUUGCAGCCAGACUUGCUUACAGUUGCUCAUCCGGGUUUUUACCCGGUGCACUCUUCUGUAGGCAGGCCAGCAUCAGUUUGGGCGGUAGGAUAAAGGUCUCUGUCACGUACCUCCUUUCGGGGAGGCCUUAUAGGGGAGACGACAUACUACCAGCCUGGACUGAGGUCCGCGCAUCUGCUAGGAUGCUGGCGUAAUGGCUGU